UCGCAUGGGAGUGUUGUCAAAGGUGGCCUCUUCUUGAAAGCUGCCACCUGGAGAUGGGCCCGCGGUCCAUUAGCUUGUUGGUGAGGUAACGGCUCACCAAGGCUACGAUGGAUAGCCGGCCUGAGAGGGUGAUCGGCCACACUGGAACUGAGACAAGGUCCAGUCCCCUACGGGGGCCAGCAGUCUAGAAAUUUGGGCAAUGGGCGAAAGCCUGACCCAGCGACGCCACGUGAAGGAUGAAGCCUCUAGGGGUGUAAACUUCUGUCAGAAGGGGAGAACGCGGGGGGGUGAAUAUCCCUCUCGUCUGACGGUACCUUCAGAGGAAGCUCCGGCUAACUUCGUGCCAGCAGCCGCGGUAAUACGAAGGGAGCGAGCGUUGUUCGGAUUUACUGGGCGUAAAGGGCGCGUAGGCGGGUUCGUAAGUCGAGUGUGAAAACUGUGGGCUCAACCCACAGACUGCACUCGAAACUGCAAGCCUUGAGUCCAGGAGAGGAGAGCGGAAUCGGCGGUGUAGCGGUGAAAUGCGUAGAUAUUGCCGAGAACACCGGUGGCGAAGGCGGCUCUCUGGCCUGGUACUGACGCUAAGGCGCGAAAGCUAGGGGAGCGAACGGGAUUAGAUACCCCGGUAGUCCUAGCCGUAAACGAUGGGCACUAGGUGUUGGAGGUGUUGACCCCUUCAGUGCCGCAGCUAACGCAUUAAGUGCCCCGCCUGGGGAGUACGGUCGCAAGGCUGAAACUCAAAGGAAUUGACGGGGACCCGCACAAGCGGUGGAGCAUCUCCUCAAUUCGAGGCUACGCGAAGAACCUUACCCAGGCUUGACAUAUACCUGCAAGCCCUAGAAAUAGGGCCCCUCUUCGGAGCGGGUAUACAGGUGCUGCAUGGCUGUCGUCGGCUCGUGUCGUGAGAUGUUGGGUUCAGUCCCGCAACGAGCGCAACCCCUGUCCCUAGUUGCCAGCACGUCAUGGUGGGAACUCUAGGGAGACUGCCUGUGUUAAGCAGGAGGAAGGUGGGGACGACGUCAAGUCCUCAUGGCCCUUACGCCUGGGCAAGCGUGCUACAAUGGCCGGUACAAAGGGCUGCGAUACUGUGAGGUGGAGCUAAUCCCAAAAAACCGGUCUCAGUUCGGAUUGAAGUCUACAACUCGACUUCAUGAAGUUGGAAUCGCUAGUAAUCGUGGAUCAGCAUGCCACGGUGAAUACGUUCCCGGGUCUUGUACACACCGCCCGUCAAGCGAUGAAAGCUGGGAAUACCCGAAGUCGGUCACUCAACCCGCAAGGAAGGGAGCCGCCGAAGGUAGGCCUGGUAAUUGGCGCUAAGUCGUAACAAGGUA
RNAcentral lists this ribosomal RNA (1331 nucleotides) under metagenome. Its description in RNAcentral is "bacterial SSU rRNA". It matches the Rfam family "Bacterial small subunit ribosomal RNA", at positions 186 to 1498 of the family's 1533-position model. The record is from RNAcentral.